UACGAAGGGGGCUAGCGUUGCUCGGAAUCACUGGGCGUAAAGCGCACGUAGGCGGCUUUCUAAGUCAGGGGUGAAAUCCCGGAGCUCAACUCCGGAACUGCCUUUGAUACUGGAAGGCUCGAGUCCGGGAGAGGUGAGUGGAACUGCGAGUGUAGAGGUGAAAUUCGUAGAUAUUCGCAAGAACACCAGUGGCGAAGGCGGCUCACUGGCCCGGUACUGACGCUGAGGUGCGAAAGCGUGGGGAGCAAACAGG
RNAcentral lists this ribosomal RNA (253 nucleotides) under uncultured bacterium. Its description in RNAcentral is "partial 16S ribosomal RNA". It matches the Rfam family "Bacterial small subunit ribosomal RNA", at positions 524 to 776 of the family's 1533-position model. The record is from RNAcentral.